UGCAGCUUGGGGACCUCGGCUAGGGAAUCGGGGCGGGCCAACCCCGGGAGGCUCCUGCCUGGAACCUGGGGCUUCCCACGCGGGAGGUAGGUGCAGGGGCCGCAGUGGGGUCGAACGCCGGGCUCAGGGGCUCCUGCUCCCCGAUGUUACUCGCAUUACCCCGGGCCGCGCGUUGCCAGCAGCCAGGCCUCGGCACCGCCACUACGCGGCGAGAGAACGAGCCCCCGCGCCGAGCGUGCUGGCGCGCGGAGAGCUGGGUCGCCCACUCGGACCCCCGCUCCGGCUCGGGGCCCCCGGAAACCACAAGUCCCAGGUUGCCCGGCGCGGGCGGGUCACGCGGGAGGGGCGGUGGCGCGGCUCAGGAGCCUCUGUCGGCCAUUUUGUGGAGCACCCGCCGCGGCCGCCUCUUCUCCUGCGCCCGCCGCCGCCGCCUCCCCCGCCGCCUGCCUCCUGCCGCCCGCGCCGCCGCCCCCGCCGAGCCCAGCCCCGCCGAAGCGGCCCCGAGCGCAUUUUCAUUUUCUCGCCGCUGCAGCCUCUUGACAACGGUGAUCCGGGCGGGCCCCGCAGGAAUUUUACCCCCUCGCUGNACAGGCCGUCGGGCUGUCUCUGGGCAGUCGGGGCUCUCUACGUGCGGAGUCAUUUACCCCUUUGCUGAUGCAACUAAGGGUGACGACUUACUCCCGGCAGGGACUGAGGAUUACAUUCAUAUAAGAAUCCAGCAACGGAACGGCAGAAAGACAUUGACUACUGUUCAGGGCAUUGCAGAUGAUUAUGACAAAAAGAAACUUGUGAAAGCUUUCAAAAAGAAAUUUGCCUGUAAUGGUACUGUGAUUGAGCAUCCCGAAUACGGAGAGGUUAUUCAGCUUCAAGGUGACCAAAGGAAAAACAUUUGCCAGUUUCUCUUGGAGGUUGGCAUUGUCAAGGAGGAACAGCUGAAGGUUCAUGGAUUCUAAAAUGAACCUAAAAACGUGGAGAAUUUCUUGAAUAAUUUUGUUGUCUGAACCUAGUUUGGCUGCCUUGUGAAAUGAUUCCCUGCAGUAAACGGACUUUUCAUUUAUUCAGUCAUUCAAACUUCCAUUCACAUCUGCAUGAUUACAGGAAACAUGGGGUUAGCGUGCAGCUACUGGACACACACCCCUUAGAGGUACUACCACAGGACUCACUUGGAAGACCAAUUGCAAUAAAAGUAAAGAUGACUAACCUGCAGCUCUGCGGACUCAGGUGCUCAUGGAGGCCCUGCCUUACCUGCAUGAUCACCUCCUUGAAAAUACCCUGUCUCCUUUGAUCCUUUCUCCUUCCUUUGUACUCAUUUGUCAAAACUCCAGCCCUUGUUAAACAACCGCUGACUCUGCAUCUACUCAGAGCAACUGAAGGAUUUUCUUCCUUUCCCUUCCCACCCAGUGUUGCACAGCUGAAGGCUUUGCCUCAUCCACCACUGAGUAUUUGAGGCUCCCUCAUUUCUCCACCUCCAAACCUUCCCUUCUAAGAUAAUGGUGCACUCUCUGUCUUCUGUCCUGUUUGUAUUAGAUGAAGUGUACUUGCUAACAUCAAAACCAACCCCUCCAGUUGUGUCCCAGGUGAUGUCCACUCUCCUCCAUGAAUUACCACUGUAAUUACUCUCUUCUAAUCAGCAAUUUCUUUCUCCCCACUGAAUCCUUUUCAUCAGAUACAUCAGAUAGAAAUGCCCUUUAAUAUCUCAAAGAGAAGAAAAGAAAACCUCUCUGGAUCACAUACCCUCUUCAGCUACUAAGCAGCUGGCUUGACAUCGUUUGGAUGUGUAACAGGCAUCUCAAAAUCAAUGCAACUGAUGUGAGAACAUUAACUCCAUCCUCCACCACAGUCUCUUUUACCAGUCUGCCUUGUCUAAGUAGAUGGCACCACCAUCCUAAGAGCUCAAGCCUAAAACUUAACUUUGAAUCUCCCUUUCCUUUACUCCUUGAAUCCCUAUCCUAUUUAAUGAAGUCUUACUGUUUCUAUAUGCAAAAUAUAUCUAUAUCCAUCCUCCCGCACCCACAUCUCCUGACUAGUCCAGCCUACUUCAAGCCUUCAGUAUCUUUCACCUGCACUAUUGCAGUGACUCCUCCAAAUGGUGGUCUUCUUGUAUACACUGACCACACAAAGAAGCCUGAGGAUUCUUUAUAAAAUUCACAUAGAUUGCGUCAGUUCUCUGCACAAAAUCUUCUGAAGGUUUCUCACUGUGCUUAAUACUAAAUCCAAACAUAUUACAGUGGCUUAUAGGAUCCCUCUGGCCUGUUCCUUGCCUACCUUCUGUUCUCACCACCUACCCUUCUGACUCCACCGCACUUCCAAACACACUGGUCCUCAUCUGCAGUGAACGUGUACUUGAUGUUCACUUCCCCUCAGAUGCUCUGCCCUUUUUCCAUCUUACUGCUUGUCCCUCAAUUUUAUCUCAACCUCAAGGAGGCCAUCCAUGACUACCCCAUCUAAAGAAGCCCCCUACCAUCCAUUGUUAAGAGGCACUCUGUAUUUUGCUCUCUUUGCUAUAGUUAUCUUUAUCCAAAAAUAUCUUGCUCAUUUGUUUUUGCCAGUUUACUUUCUAUCUCCCCACUGCUAACAUAAUAUAAGUCAUGUAAGAAACGUUUGUAAGAGAUGCUGUCAAUACCUCCCCAUAUCCCCUUGGCACUCACAUUCCCAUGCUAGUUCACUGGGCGCUCCAGUUACAAGUGUCUGUGACCUUUGCUCAAGUGCUUUCUCUGGUCACAGGAGCACCCUGAGCCCACACAGGGCAGGAUGGAAGUCCUGGGGAGUUGACACCUGCCUUCGCCUCUGCUUCAGAGGCCCUCAACCAACAACUGAUGGGAGUUGCAGGUUUGCCGCGAGGGGGCGCCUCCUCCCGAGCUGAGAGCGCGCGUCUUCCGCCGUUCACCACAGCCCCCAGGGGGGUGCCUGUGCCCAAACCCCUGACCCGCGCGGCGCACGCGCGCUGGUGCCUUGGACUUGGCUCCGCGUAGGGCAGACCGGAGCCGGAGCCGCGACUGCUUGCGGGCAGGACCGACGGCGGGAGAGAAAGGUCCUACUCAACACCCAAGGCCCAGUGGCUGCAGGGGAAUCCUCCCACUUGCCUCCUGAUCACACUUGGAACCCUGCAAGAAGAGUAGACCUCCACUUCGUGUGAACUGGCCUCUAUGAUGGGGUUGUUAUGUCUGCUCUGCUGUUUUUGAGGGACUGACGCGGUUGUUUUGAAAAGUAAUUUACUUUCCAGACAUGUCAGGCAUACAGAAAAUUUGCAGUGUCAGUACAAAUACUCUUACCUCUGUUCCCCGCAGCCCCACUUUACCACACUUACCACUUCACACUUGCCAUACUAGUGUGUGUGAAGGUGUGUCAGUGUGGUUUUAAUUCACAUUUCCAUAACUACACCUUUUCAUGUGCUUGUAGACCAUUUAUAUGUCUUAUCUGGUGUCUUUUGUCCAUUUUAAAAGUUGGGUGUCUUCUUGUUGAGGUACAAGAUCUCCAUGUUUCCUAGGUAACAGGCUCAUCAUAUGUACAGUGUGCAAAUAUAUUCUUCCAUUCUGUGGCUUUUUCUGGUUGGCGUCUUUUGAUGCAGAAACAUUUUUUUAAUUUUGAGGAAAUCUAUCUAUUCUUUCAUUGCUUGUACUUUGGUGUCACAUCUAAGAAGCCAUUGCUAAAUCCAACAUCAUGAAGAUUAUGUCCAUCUACUCUUCUAAAGUUUAUCAUUUUACCUGUUACAUUUAAGCCUUUUAUCUAUUUUGAGUUAAUUUUUAUAUAUGGUGUGAGUUAAGGGUUCAGUUUUAUUCCUCCACACGUGGAUAGCCAGUUACCGAGCACCAUUUGAUGAAAAAACCAUUAUUUCCCCAAAUUAAUGCUGUCUACCUUUGUCAGAAAUCAAGUGAGUGUAGAUGGUUGGGGUUAUUUCUGGGCUUUCCAUUCACUUCCAUUGAUCUACAUAUACUGUAUUACAUACUGUGUUCUUAAAAUAAACUAAAGAAAAGAAAA
Manis javanica (Malayan pangolin) is the source of this 3978-nucleotide non-coding RNA. The record is from RefSeq and is a predicted model, not a curated record. NCBI's taxonomy places the organism in Eukaryota, Metazoa, Chordata, Mammalia, Pholidota, Manidae.